AACGCUGGCGGCACGCUUAACACAUGCAAGUCGACGAAAAUGUUUCACCGUAGCUUGCUACACCGAGACAUUUUAGUGGCGGACGGGUGAGUAACACGUGAGGAACCUGCCUAUCAGAGAGGGAUACCGUUUGGAAACGAACGUUAAUACCUCAUAACGUAACGAGAUCGCAUGAUAAUGUUACCAAAGAUUUAUCGCUGAUAGAUGGCCUCGCGUCUGAUUAGAUAGUUGGUGAGGUAACGGCUCACCAAGUCGACGAUCAGUAGCCGGACUGAGAGGUUGAACGGCCACAUUGGGACUGAGAUACGGCCCAGACUCCUACGGGAGGCAGCAGUGGGGAAUAUUGGGCAAUGGGGGAAACCCUGACCCAGCAACGCCGCGUGAAGGAAGAAGGCUUUCGGGUUGUAAACUUCUUUUGUCAGGGACGAGCAGAAGACGGUACCUGACGAAUAAGCCACGGCUAACUACGUG
This 471-nucleotide ribosomal RNA is filed under the name uncultured bacterium. RNAcentral describes it as "bacterial SSU rRNA". It matches the Rfam family "Bacterial small subunit ribosomal RNA", at positions 32 to 507 of the family's 1533-position model. The record is from RNAcentral.